AAACCCUCAAGCCUGGCUUGGUAUUGGGCGACGGGGACUCCCCGCGCCUCUAUUUCGCCGGCUGGCCGUCGUUUCGACUUAGCGUUGUGACACAUGUCGCUGACGACGAAGACGGACCACGCCGUUAAACUCUCUUGAAUGCCUCCGGGCGUUCAGUAAA
RNAcentral lists this unclassified non-coding RNA (160 nucleotides) under uncultured Devriesia. Its description in RNAcentral is "sequence contains ITS2". The record is from RNAcentral. Lineage: Eukaryota; Fungi; Ascomycota; Dothideomycetes; Mycosphaerellales; Teratosphaeriaceae.